This 446-nucleotide ribosomal RNA is filed under the name uncultured Propionicimonas sp. Its description in RNAcentral is "bacterial SSU rRNA". It matches the Rfam family "Bacterial small subunit ribosomal RNA", at positions 337 to 795 of the family's 1533-position model. The record is from RNAcentral. Lineage: Bacteria; Bacillati; Actinomycetota; Actinomycetes; Propionibacteriales; Nocardioidaceae.
UCCUACGGGAGGCAGCAGUGGGGAAUAUUGCACAAUGGGCGAAAGCCUGAUGCAGCAACGCCGCGUGCGGGAUGACGGCCUUCGGGUUGUAAACCGCUUUCAGCAGGGACGAAGCGCAAGUGACGGUACCUGCAGAAGAAGCACCGGCUAACUACGUGCCAGCAGCCGCGGUGAUACGUAGGGUGCGAGCGUUGUCCGGAAUUAUUGGGCGUAAAGAGCUUGUAGGCGGUCCGUUGCGUCGGAAGUGAAAACUCAGGGCUUAACCCUGAGCCUGCUUUCGAUACGGGCGGACUUGAGGAAUGUAGGGGAGAACGGAAUUCCUGGUGGAGCGGUGGAAUGCGCAGAUAUCAGGAGGAACACCAGUGGCGAAGGCGGUUCUCUGGACAUUUCCUGACGCUGAGAAGCGAAAGCGUGGGGAGCAAACAGGAUUAGAUACCCUUGUAGUC